This 512-nucleotide ribosomal RNA is filed under the name uncultured bacterium. RNAcentral's name for it is "partial 16S ribosomal RNA". It matches the Rfam family "Bacterial small subunit ribosomal RNA", at positions 28 to 507 of the family's 1533-position model. The record is from RNAcentral.
GAUGAACGCUGGCGGCGUGCCUAAUACAUGCAAGUCGAACGAAACUUCUUUAUCACCGAGUGCUUGCACUCACCGAUAAAGAGUUGAGUGGCGAACGGGUGAGUAACACGUGGGCAACCUGCCCAAAAGAGGGGGAUAACACUUGGAAACAGGUGCUAAUACCGCAUAACCAUAGUUACCGCAUGGUAACUAUGUAAAAGGUGGCUAUACUACCGCUUUUGGAUGGGCCCGCGGCGCAUUAGCUAGUUGGUAGGGUAAAGGCUUACCAAGGCAAUGAUGCGUAGCCGAAGUGAGAGGCUGAUCGGCGACAUUGGGACGGGGACACGGACAAAACUACUAAGGGAGGCAGCAGUAGGGAAUCUGACACAAUAGGCGAAAGCCUGAUGGAGCAACGCCGAGUGGGUGACGAAGGUCUUCGGAUCGUAAAACCCUGUUGUUAGAGAAGAAAGUGCGUGGGAGUAAAUGUUCACGUUUCGACGGUAUCUAACCAGAAAGCCACUGCUAACUACGUG